CCGAACAUAGCUCAGUUGGUAGAGCGGAAGACUGUAGUGUUACCAUAGCAAUCUUUAGGUCCCUGGUUCAAAUCCGGGUGUUCGGA
Basidiobolus meristosporus CBS 931.73 is the source of this 86-nucleotide transfer RNA. It matches the Rfam family "tRNA". Rfam says of the family: Transfer RNA (tRNA) molecules are approximately 80 nucleotides in length. Their secondary structure includes four short double-helical elements and three loops (D, anti-codon, and T loops). Lineage: Eukaryota; Fungi; Basidiobolomycota; Basidiobolomycetes; Basidiobolales; Basidiobolaceae. The record is from Rfam.